GAUGAAGAACGUAGCGAAAUGCGAUAAGUAAUGUGAAUUGCAGAAUUCAGUGAAUCAUCGAAUCUUUGAACGCAUCUUGCGCUCCUUGGUAUUCUGAAGAGCAUGCCUGUUUGAGUGUCAUUAAAGUUCUCAACCACACAUACUACAUAUGUGGCUUGGAUGUGGGGGUUUGCAGGCUUUCUCUGAGGGUCUGCUCCUCUGAAAUGCAUUAGUGGUAUUCCUGAGCUUUACUACAGAUGUGAUAAUUUAUCUACAUCCCAAAAGUAUGCUUCAGCAACACCGCUCCUAACAAGCGAAAGCACAUUUUGAUGAAUUUGACCUCAAAUCAGGUAGGACUACCCGCUGAACUUAAGCAUAUCAAUAAGCGGAGGA
Molecule: unclassified non-coding RNA, 372 nt
Filed under: soil metagenome
Description: partial contains 5.8S ribosomal RNA, internal transcribed spacer 2, and large subunit ribosomal RNA
Rfam family: 5.8S ribosomal RNA (bases 1-120)
Source: RNAcentral